GUAGGUCUUGCCUCGUGUUUGAGGGCUUGUGUUCUGUUUUAAACCCAUUGCUUGGGUGAAUCAUGGACAAGGGAAGGGUGGUCUACUGCUCGUCAUGCAAUCAUGGUCCCUAUCUUGCAUACAACGUCAAAACACCUUCAGAUUUGGAAAUCAAGACAGGCCUGAGCGGUACUAUUCUCGGCAUGAUUAUACCUACAGCCUUGUGUCGC
Molecule: long non-coding RNA, 209 nt
Filed under: Actinidia chinensis (golden kiwifruit)
Lineage: Eukaryota; Viridiplantae; Streptophyta; Magnoliopsida; Ericales; Actinidiaceae
Description: long non-coding RNA (ACHI_LNC001265)
Source: RNAcentral